This 478-nucleotide ribosomal RNA is filed under the name uncultured Alphaproteobacteria bacterium. RNAcentral's name for it is "bacterial SSU rRNA". It matches the Rfam family "Bacterial small subunit ribosomal RNA", at positions 9 to 524 of the family's 1533-position model. Lineage: Bacteria; Pseudomonadati; Pseudomonadota; Alphaproteobacteria. The record is from RNAcentral.
GAGUUUGAUCCUGGCUCAGAACGAACGCUGGCGGCAUGCCUAACACAUGCAAGUCGAACGGGAUCCAGGCUUCGGCCUGGUGAGAGUGGCGGACGGGUGAGUAACGCGUGGGAACCUGCCCAAUGGUCUGGGAUAACCGCGGGAAACUGCGGCUAAUACCGGAUAAGCCCGAGAGGGGAAAGAUUUAUCGCCGAUGGAGGGGCCCGCGUCCGAUUAGGUAGUUGGUGAGGUAACGGCUCACCAAGCCGACGAUCGGUAGCUGGUCUGAGAGGAUGAUCAGCCACACUGGGACUGAGAUACGGCCCAGACUCCUACGGGAGGCAGCAGUGGGGAAUAUUGGACAAUGGGGGCAACCCUGAUCCAGCAAUGCCGCGUGAGUGAUGAAGGCCUUAGGGUUGUAAAGCUCUUUUGGCGGGACGAUGAUGACGGUACCCGCAGAAUAAGCCCCGGCUAACUUCGUGCCAGCCGCCGCCGUAAG